UGCAAGUCGAACGCGUUGGCCCAAUUGAUUGAUGGUGCUUGCACCUGAUUGAUUUUGGUCGCCAACGAGUGGCGGACGGGUGAGUAACACGUAGGUAACCUGCCCAGAAGCGGGGGACAACAUUUGGAAACAGAUGCUAAUACCGCAUAACANCGUUGUUCGCAUGAACAACGCUUAAAAGAUGGCUUCUCGCUAUCACUUCUGGAUGGACCUGCGGUGCAUUAGCUUGUUGGUGGGGUAACGGCCUACCAAGGCGAUGAUGCAUAGCCGAGUUGAGAGACUGAUCGGCCACAAUGGGACUGAGACACGGCCCAUACUCCUACGGGAGGCAGCAGUAGGGAAUCUUCCACAAUGGGCGCAAGCCUGAUGGAGCAACACCGCGUGAGUGAAGAAGGGUUUCGGCUCGUAAAGCUCUGUUGUUAAAGAAGAACACGUAUGAGAGUAACUGUUCAUNCGUUGACGGUAUUUAACCAGAAAGUCACGGCUAACUACGUGCCAGCAGCCGCGGUAAUACGUAGGUGGCAAGCGUUAUCCGGAUUUAUUGGGCGUAAAGAGAGUGCAGGCGGUUUUCUAAGUCUGAUGUGAAAGCCUUCGGCUUAACCGGAGAAGUGCAUCGGAAACUGGAUAACUUGAGUGCAGAAGAGGGUAGUGGAACUCCAUGUGUAGCGGUGGAAUGCGUAGAUAUAUGGAAGAACACCAGUGGCGAAGGCGGCUACCUGGUCUGCAACUGACGCUGAGACUCGAAAGCAUGGGUAGCGAACAGGAUUAGAUACCCUGGUAGUCCAUGCCGUAAACGAUGAGUGCUAGGUGUUGGAGGGUUUCCGCCCUUCAGUGCCGGAGCUAACGCAUUAAGCACUCCGCCUGGGGAGUACGACCGCAAGGUUGAAACUCAAAGGAAUUGACGGGGGCCCGCACAAGCGGUGGAGCAUGUGGUUUAAUUCGAAGCUACGCGAAGAACCUUACCAGGUCUUGACAUCUUGCGCCAACCCUAGAGAUAGGGCGUUUCCUUCGGGAACGCAAUGACAGGUGGUGCAUGGUCGUCGUCAGCUCGUGUCGUGAGAUGUUGGGUUAAGUCCCGCAACGAGCGCAACCCUUGUUACUAGUUGCCAGCAUUAAGUUGGGCACUCUAGUGAGACUGCCGGUGACAAACCGGAGGAAGGUGGGGACGACGUCAGAUCAUCAUGCCCCUUAUGACCUGGGCUACACACGUGCUACAAUGGACGGUACAACGAGUCGCGAACUCGCGAGGGCAAGCAAAUCUCUUAAAACCGUUCUCAGUUCGGACUGCAGGCUGCAACUCGCCUGCACGAAGUCGGAAUCGCUAGUAAUCGCGGAUCAGCAUGCCGCGGUGAAUACGUUCCCGGGCCUUGUACACACCGCCCGUCACACCAUGAGAGUUUGUAACACCCAAAGUCGGUGGGGUAACCUUUUAGGAGCCAGCCGCC
RNAcentral lists this ribosomal RNA (1445 nucleotides) under Limosilactobacillus fermentum. RNAcentral describes it as "bacterial SSU rRNA". It matches the Rfam family "Bacterial small subunit ribosomal RNA". The record is from RNAcentral. Lineage: Bacteria; Bacillati; Bacillota; Bacilli; Lactobacillales; Lactobacillaceae.